RNAcentral lists this unclassified non-coding RNA (4755 nucleotides) under Anthonomus grandis grandis. Its description in RNAcentral is "uncharacterized LOC126737806". Lineage: Eukaryota; Metazoa; Arthropoda; Insecta; Coleoptera; Curculionidae. The record is from RNAcentral.
AUAUUGUCAAACGAAGAUAAUUCAUUAAAAAACAUUUUAAAUUUUAUUUUAUUAAUAUAAAAAUCACUUAAAAAUAUUCGUUCGGUAUACCAGGUCAUUUACCCACAAAUUGUGUAAGUAACAAUUUCCUGAUUGCAUGAUGAAAUAACCAAGUCAUUUCCAUCGUAAAAAGAUUGCAAAAGUACUUUGUCGACAGAACGAUGGUUUGGAAAAAACCGGAAAUUCUGCUGACAAAGAAAAUUAACACUAGGGUACGACGAACGAAAUUUGGCAGAGUUACGACCGGGUCUCGGGCAAGAAGAGGUAACCGAAAGCAGUGCGGAAAAGCUUUGUGAAAUGUUUGCUCCAAGAAUAAUAAUAAUGUUAAUCACUAUGGUGCUAAAUCAGGCGCAGAACAUGAAGGAAGAACAAGAUUACAGAGUUGAGGUAAGCGCGGGAGCUUAUUGGAAACCACUCCCAGCGACAAGAAUCUAUGAAGCUACAGUACCAUUGACAUAUGAAACGGAAUGGACCGAGGAUACCGAUGACCACACGAUGGAUGUAGGAAAUCUCAAAUGCAGCCAAUUGCAAACGAACGAAUGCUUCGUAAUAAAUAGUAUAAAUGGACUAAAUAAAGCAUUCUUCAAAGAAUUAACUUUACUUAACGAACACUGGGGCAUAGCACCACUAAGAAACAACGAACCAUCUAAGAGAGAGAAGAGGUCUCUAGACUUUAUAGGCUCAGGAUUAUCAUGGUGUUGCGGAGUGGCAACAUUGCAAAAACUAAAUAUGGUCGAAAACUCAGAUGACGAGAUCAGGAAAAGGCUAGACACAAUGUCACAAGGACUGUCCGAUACCGUAAAACAAAUGAGCGAAAACUCCAAACACUUUCAAGACUAUGAGAAAUUAGUCGCAGCAACGUUCUCGGACACGGAGCUAAGGAUAAAGAGCAUAGAGAGGUUCACUAAACAACUGGAAAAUAAGGUGGCAAAUAUGACAAACGAACAGGAAUUACUAAUAAUGACAAACCUCUAUAACGGAUAUCUAAACCUAAAAAGGAUGGUAUUACUAGUAAGGACUCUCAGGAGACAGGCUAUCGUAAAUUCAUGUAGACACCAUAAAAUACCGGCGGAAAUUGUCAACCCGCAAGUCCUAAAAAAGGAUCUGGAGGAUUUCGAGUCAAAAAUCGCAAAUUCAGAACAAGGACUGGCCAUCCCUACAUCUGAACUAGCAGCAUACUUCGAAAUGCCCAUAUGUGACUGUUCCUUUACAAAAUCAAGUAUAUAUGUUGCACAUAAAAAUUCCAAUAAUUAAGAAAAACAGAAAUUGGCAACUACUAGAGUUAAUAACCACACCCUUUGCUUGGUAUAACCAGACCUGUAUUAUACGCCACCAACCGCUAUACAUUGCAGUGUCCAAAAACGGAAAUAACGAGGGCGACUUAAGACAAAUAUCGGGGACAGGCCUACAUGAAUGUAAGCCAUACCAAAAUAAAUUAUGCUAUUUACCCAGAUUCUCAGCAGACAUCCUACAAGGGCCUGAAUGUGCGAAAAUCCUAUAUCAAGGGGCAACAGUAAAAGAACUAAGCCAAUACUGCCCAAUGGACUGCCACUCAGCAACAUCGAUGACAAUAUCCGAAAUUAAAGACGAAACUUAUGUCAUUACCCACCCGAAACAGGACAUGACCAUCUCUUGUGAUAAAAGUAAGCCUCAGAAAUUAGACACGACAUUAGCACGUCAAGGCUCUAUCAAAAUUUUCCUCCCAUGCAAAUGCCACCUCAGCGUAGGCAAUGCAGUUAUUAUACCUGAAAAUUUCCCUUGUCCAGAAAACAUCACUACCAAUGCAAUAGUAACCCACAUAAUACCUGCAACCUGGUCAAAUCUAAAUUCCUAUAUCCUCAAUCCCAACAUUAUUAGUACCCCACCACUCUACAAAAACAUUUCCGAAUGCCUAAAUACAAAUUGGACACUAGAGAUACCCCAUCUUAACCUCACAUCCAGCGAUAACACCUUAAAAAACAUUCUAAAAUCAGUAGAGAAAAACUAUCCAAAUGUAAUCACUUAUGGUGAUACACAUAGCUUUCACGGGGACUCAUUUUUUCUAAUUUGGAACAUAACCAUUUCAAUCUUGGUAGCGUACAUCCUAAUUAAACAAAAUAGAAUAGCAAUAGUAGCGGCAGUUCCACAAAUACGUGGAGAAAUAGACUGUCAUGAAAAAAGCCCCUCAACAAGUGUUAAUCACGAGGCUCUCUAUAUAAUAAUUUACACUUCAUGUUUACUUUUCCUUCUAUCCUUAUUUACUUAUAUUUUAUAUAUAACGCUCAGAUACUUCAAAAACAAACCAAAAAAUUCAACUACAACCCAAAAUCCCAUGUCCAUUAGAAAUGCAAAAACAUUUGACGAAACAAUAUUAUACCCAAUCCCCGACCCAGGCAAUGACCCCGAACCGAGCGUCGAACCAAACGCCAUGUCAAGGUUCCGGCUAGAUAUAAAAAAUAGUGCUAGCCUUUUAUCACUGUCCCCUGGUAAAAAAGUAGAUGCUAGUAUAGAACGCAUCGAAAUAGAAUAAUUACUUAUUAUUUUACGCAAGCUUGCAUAUAGUUAGUAUAUACUGGGGCCCCUCUGAAGAUGAUACAUUUCACCAUGUUAUUUAAGCCUUAAUUGUAGUCAUGACAAUCUAAACAAUUUAAGGAUAAAUAUCAUAGUAAUUUGCAAAUCACAUCAGAAAACGUAUAAAUAAUUUUGAUUUACGCGCGUAUAUACAUAUUCGAAAUGAAAUUUAUUGAAAUAAUAAUAUAUUAAAAUGAGAUGAUAAUGGGGAAAUAUUAUAAAUAUAUCGCCGGUAGGCGAGGGACAGCGAGCCUAAGGCACAUAAAUAUUUAAGUAGAAGCUAAAAAGAAAACAUAUUAUUAAAAAUAAUGUAAAAGAAAGGGUCUAAUUAAUAAUCUAUAAAAGUUAAAAAGACAUACAUCAAUAAAAGUUAUUUAGAAGAGAGGGGAUAAACAAUUAAUGAAUAAAAAAUAUAUUUUUUUUGGGUUUUCUAUAAAUAAAACACUUUGUUAUCUAAACUCGAAAUACAAGAAACUUCAAAAGAUCUGAGACAAAGGAAAAUUAAUAAAAUUUGAUUAUGAGUCAAAUUAUCCUAAAAUAUAUAAUACAAAAACUGCGAGGAAGUCAACAAUUUCUCAAGAUAUGAUAUAAAGAUUUAACAUGAAAUCAAAAUGAUUAAAUAUAAAACCAUUAAGCACCAUAUAAUAGCACAUACUUACACUUUGUUCUUUCUUUACAUAUAAACAUACCAUGAGAUGCCACACGUACAAAUUCGACCUGAACAGAAAAUAAGGGUACGCUCCUACCAGAACCACAGAAAGUAGCCGAUGGAACCAGAACCAGAGCCAAACAGGAACACCCCACAUCCGCGCACUGCCUUGUUGUCAGUCCUGACCAUCCCAAUCGCAGACAGGGUGAUGCCAGAGCCAUGGCCAUCCCAGGACAAGCUAAGUUACCACUGCGCCAAUGGUCAAAGUCCAAACUUGCCCGAACUCACGACGCUACCAGCAGCGGGUUGAAGUGUUCAACCUAUGAUCUCCAGUAGGGGAUGCCAACAUUACGAAUCAUGGAUUCAGCUGAAGAUACGGCAGGGGCCAUCCAUAAAACACAGUUCCAGGAAACCGACGGCGUUGAAGGACUGGUACAAAACAAGGGAGAAGUCAGGCAUACAAGGGGGUGUCAUGUGAUGUCGCAAGGGUUGCCAACGGACGAAUGGAGGCGUCAAACCCGUAGGCGUUCCAGAAGAGGAGUCAGACAUACAUGGGUGAAGGUGUCCUAGGACGACACAUGGAGGCGUCAAACCUGUAGGCGUCCCAGACGAGGGGCAGGCGACAACGCUAUGAACGUCGCCACCUUACCCGGCGACCGGACCCGGAUGCUGAAGACAUUUUGUGUUCAGAGACUACGUAGUAUUAAAAAAUGUGGACAUCAAAAGCGAUAGUUACAUUAAUUGUAGUUAAAAUUUAAUGAAUAAUAAGGGUUCAGCUCUAAUUAAUUAUACGUUAUUUAGGUACAUCGUUGUUCUGAUCUUACUAAUUGUAAAUUUUUUUUUCUUCUGGGUCUUCUUCGAUCAUGAUUUCGAUUGUUAACAAUAAAGCUGGAGGCCAGCUUUUCUAUGCCCGGGGGAUAUGUCAAACGAAGAUAAUUCAUUAAAAAACAUUUUAAAUUUUAUUUUAUUAAUAUAAAAAUCACUUAAAAAUAUUCGUUCGGUAUACCAGGUCAUUUACCCACAAAUUGUGUAAGUAACAAUUUCCUGAUUGCAUGAUGAAAUAACCAAGUCAUUUCCAUCGUAAAAAGAUUGCAAAAGUACUUUGUCGAUAGAACGAUGGUUUGGAAAAAACCGGAAAUUCUGCUGACAAAGAAAAUUAACACUAGGGUACGACGAACGAAAUUUGGCAGAGUUACGACCGGGUCUCGGGCAAGAAGAGGUAACCGAAAGCAGUGCGGAAAAGCUUUGUGAAAUGUUUGCUCCAAGAAUAAUAAUAAUGUAAGUACAACAUUUUAUCAUAUCGAAGAAGAUCACAAUUAUUGUCACUUUAUUAAGUUACGUAACAUUACUUUCACUUUAAUUAUAGAAUUCGCUACAUAUUCCCAUGUACUUAAAUUAUUAAUCCUGUUAUGUCGAUCUUAGUUUAUCUCUUGUCAAAUUAGCUCUUUUAUUUGGGUAACUCUACUUAAAUCGUUAUAAUUAUAUUUUGCUGUCAAUACAAGGUAUUUAGUAAACUA